CCAUUUUUCUAUAUCAAACUUUCCUAUUGUGCCACACGCAAGGAGCAUUUACUACGGAAACGUCAACCGAAGAACGUCAACUAUCGACAGAAAAAAAGCUAGUCAGUUUUCUGUAAUUUUUGCAAUGAUUGGACUACGAUCUUUGAUUUCAAGAAUUACACACACUAGGGCUAUUCUGAACAGGAUUCAGAUCCCUGUACUAAUACAGAAACAUAAACAACACCAUGAAGGAAAUCCUCAACCAUUCGAUAAUAUGCCAUUUGAACCGCCUAACCGAUAUUUCGCAACAGUCUUCUUUUCCAUAUUCUUCGGUAUUGGACUGUGGUCUCCGUUUGCAAUUCUUUGGUAUAUGAUGGCAAAGAAAACUUUGUAAUAUAUUUAUACAUACCUACAUAGACUA
Long non-coding RNA from Manduca sexta (tobacco hornworm), 400 nucleotides. RefSeq lists it as uncharacterized. The record is from RefSeq and is a predicted model, not a curated record. NCBI's taxonomy places the organism in Eukaryota, Metazoa, Arthropoda, Insecta, Lepidoptera, Sphingidae. The transcript has 2 exons.